This 877-nucleotide ribosomal RNA is filed under the name uncultured eukaryote. RNAcentral describes it as "SSU rRNA". It matches the Rfam family "Eukaryotic small subunit ribosomal RNA", at positions 636 to 1469 of the family's 1831-position model. The record is from RNAcentral.
CGGUGUUCAACUGGCGUGUCCGCGGGACGUCCUGCCGGUGGGCUUAGCCCGCAAGGGCGGCCCAACUUCAAAUCCCAUCGCGGUGCUCUUCACUGAGUGUCGAGGUGGGCCGGCACGUUUACUUUGAACAAAUUAGAGUGCUUAAAGCAGGCUAAAACUUCGCCUGAAUACUGUGUGCAUGGAAUAAUGGAAUAGGGCCUCGGUUCUAUUUUGUUGGUUUUCGGAACCCCGAGGUAAUGAUUAAUAGGAACGGAUGGGGGCAUUCGUAUUGCGACGUUAGAGGUGAAAUUCUUGGAUCGUCGCAAGACGGACAGAAGCGAAAGCAUUUGCCAAAAACGCUUUCAUUGAUCAAGAACGAAAGUUAGAGGUUCGAAGGCGAUCAGAUACCGCCCUAGUUCUAACCAUAAACGAUGCCAGCUAGCGAUCCGUCGACGUUCCUCCGAUGACUCGACGGGCAGCUUCCGGGAAACCAAAGCUUUUGGGUUCCGGGGGAAGUAUGGUUGCAAAGCUGAAACUUAAAGGAAUUGACGGAAGGGCACCACCAGGAGUGGAGCCUGCGGCUUAAUUUGACUCAACACGGGAAACCUCACCAGGCCCGGACACCGGAAGGAUUGACAGAUUGAGAGCUCUUUCUUGAUUCGGUGGGUGGUGGUGCAUGGCCGUUCUUAGUUGGUGGAGCGAUUUGUCUGGUUAAUUCCGAUAACGAACGAGACUCUAGCCUGCUAACUAGGCGUAUUUUCGACAUCUCAAAGGUCCGUCGUCCCGGCCCUCGGGUCGUGGGCGUGCGCGAUUUUUACUGUCGGCGUACUAUCAAUUCUUCUUAGAGGGACAGGUGGCUUCUAGCCGCACGAGAUUGAGCAAUAACAGGUCUGUGAUG